Molecule: ribosomal RNA, 470 nt
Filed under: uncultured organism
Description: partial 16S ribosomal RNA
Rfam family: Bacterial small subunit ribosomal RNA
Source: RNAcentral
CACUCCUACGGGAGGCAGCAGUGGGGAAUUUUGGACAAUGGGCGAAAGCCUGAUCCAGCAAUGCCGCGUGUGUGAAGAAGGCCUUCGGGUUGUAAAGCACUUUUGUCCGGAAAGAAAUCCUUGGCUCUAAUACAGUCGGGGGAUGACGGUACCGGAAGAAUAAGCACCGGCUAACUACGUGCCAGCAGCCGCGGUAAUACGUAGGGUGCGAGCGUUAAUCGGAAUUACUGGGCGUAAAGCGUGCGCAGGCGGUUUGCUAAGACCGAUGUGAAAUCCCCGGGCUCAACCUGGGAACUGCAUUGGUGACUGGCAGGCUAGAGUAUGGCAGAGGGGGGUAGAAUUCCACGUGUAGCAGUGAAAUGCGUAGAGAUGUGGAGGAAUACCGAUGGCGAAGGCAGCCCCCUGGGCCAAUACUGACGCUCAUGCACGAAAGCGUGGGGAGCAAACAGGAUUAGAUACCCGAGUAGUCC